UGGGGAAUAUUGCACAAUGGGCGGAAGCCUGAUGCAGCGACGCCGCGUGGGGGAUGAAGGCCUUCGGGUUGUAAACUCCUUUCGACAGGGACGAAGCUUUUGUGACGGUACCUGUAUAAGAAGCACCGGCUAACUACGUGCCAGCAGCCGCGGUAAUACGUAGGGUGCGAGCGUUGUCCGGAAUUACUGGGCGUAAAGAGCUCGUAGGUGGUUUGUCGCGUCGUCUGUGAAAUUCCGGGGCUUAACUCCGGGCGUGCAGGCGAUACGGGCUGACUUGAGUGCUGUAGGGGAGACUGGAAUUCCUGGUGUGUCGGUGAAAUGCGCAGAUAUCAGGAGGAACACCGAUGGCGAAGGCAGGUCUCUGGGCAGUAACUGACGCUGAGGAGCGAAAGCAUGGGUAGCGAACAGG
RNAcentral lists this ribosomal RNA (409 nucleotides) under Actinomycetes bacterium. RNAcentral describes it as "Actinobacteria bacterium partial 16S ribosomal RNA". It matches the Rfam family "Bacterial small subunit ribosomal RNA", at positions 355 to 776 of the family's 1533-position model. The record is from RNAcentral. Lineage: Bacteria; Bacillati; Actinomycetota; Actinomycetes.